RNAcentral lists this long non-coding RNA (2082 nucleotides) under Heterocephalus glaber (naked mole-rat). RNAcentral describes it as "lncRNA (ENSHGLG00000048138.1)". Lineage: Eukaryota; Metazoa; Chordata; Mammalia; Rodentia; Bathyergidae. The record is from RNAcentral.
GAUAAACAGAAUGGAAAUGCUCAUAAAACAUGAGUCUGGUAACAUUUUGACAUGCAUCUUGAGGCCGUGGGCCCAAAGUGAUUGUCUGGUUGUUCCAGAUGGUUGUGGUCAAAGACAGAGGGGGCCAAGAUUCACAUUUCUGGGUAGCAGCUUGAAUUCUGGAUUAGUUCUGUCUCCUUCGUGGCUUCCCCACUCAGGUUCAUGAAGCUCUUCCAAUCACAGAUCUCCUUUUAUUUGCACAGAAUGUAGCCUGAUAGACCACUUGGAAUGGACAGAAGCUCAUCUGCCAGGAUUGGCCAAGACUCAGCUAUCUGUUACAAAAAUGACAAAACUGAAGCCUCAAGAGCCUGACUUGCUCAUGGUGACAGCAGAAAUGAGAGGAGGACUCAAGAAUUGGACUUCAGAGUUCUCAUGUUCACGGCCAUAUUGAAAUUCCUAUGGGGUCUGCAUUGCAGGACUCCUCCCAGCUACACUGCAGUAUCAGUGGGGACAUGCUUUGCACAUUCUUGCCUUCAGCUCUCUGGCACUAUUUGCUCCAUGAAUUAUUCAAUGGCCUGGUGGCCAUUGCAGGCCAUAUGCAGAUGGCCCUGGAGAAUGCAUGGUGCACAGGGUAAUUCUAGUUUUCCAAUUAGCAGCAAGGUGCUGAGCUGCGAGCCCGAAGCCUACCUAUCUCCAGGAAUGGGUUACAGCUCUUCUCCACAGGGCAGUGCCAGGCUUUGUCAUUUCAUUCACCUCUGCAGUGUCUUCCUCUUGUUCUCCUCCUCCCAGAGGUCAUCUAUUUUCUACUCCCCUGAGAGCUCCAAGGCAAGGCUAAGAGUUAGAGGGGCACACUGCAGCAGAAAUGUGCAAGAGAAAAUGUGUAGGGAAUAAGGAAAGGGGACAUUACUAGAACCUCUGCAGUGGGUCCUAGUGUCCUGCGAGCCAUGGCAGCACAAGACGAAUUAACUUAUUAUACAGGAAAGGUAGAAAAAUGAGACUUUGAGAAGAAGCUGAGCUUUGGGCCUGAUCAGUGCUGCUCUGGGCGGCAAAGAGGAAAGCCCCCAGCUUCCUGCACCUUUUAUUCAGUAGGUCAGGAGAAAUAGAUGUAACAAAUGACUCAGGACAGAGAGUUCAGUGCAUGGGGAUAAACAAGGUGUAACAAUCCAAGAACAAUGAGGAACUGAGAAGAUGAAGAUUUGGUUCCUCCCAGGAUGUCUUCAGCUCGUGUAAUCUUGUCCUGGAGAAUCACAGUAUCACCGGAUCGUUGAGGUCUCAGUUGUGACCUGCGGGCCAAAAUAGAAUUAUGUCUCAAAAUGCCAUAGCUGGCCUGUAGGCAGGAGAAGUAGAAUUUUUCCCUAAAAUUAUGUAGCAUUGCUCCUGACAAAAAUGAAAUGAGAUGAAAGAUCGCCAUGAAGAGGUCUUGGGGGGAUUUCGUUAUUCAAAAGAAUUAUGAACAUAAUUCAAAAAAAGCACCAAUGGAGCUGAGCUGAGACGGAGCAUUGCUGUACAUCUUGUUUGAGCAAAUUGGUUCUUCGGUAUCUGAGUACUUGACUUUGUGCAGUGCAAGUCAGUCGCCUUCUUUGCCUCUGUUUCAUAAAGAAGAGGGCAGAGACCAUUUUCACCAACUGUGGGGAGGGUACAGUCACUAGGGAAGGGGUGUAGUCAAUUAUUUGCAGAAUGGCCUUUUGACAUGAAGACAUUGGAUAAGAUUAAUUUUUUGAUCUGUUGCAACAAGUGUGAGGCUAGGGGUAUUGUUCUUUCUUGAGAUUUUUCUCAUCUUGCCAGCAGAAAAAGUUGGGCAUCUUGUAGGAGGCUGAUGCGUCCUUACCUCACAGAUAGUAUGAAUUAUGUACCUGGUAAUGGUGCCCUCUUCCCUCUGGCUGUUUACAGAAGGCAGAACCUCUCUGUCUGCCCAGCUCUGGAAGCACGAGGGAUUUCACAGGAAUGCCUUUUAUGUUCUAGCUUACCCACGGUGCUAUUCUAGUCUAUCUUAUUUUCUUUGUCUUUUUCUCCCCUGGCUUAUGUUUAACUGACUGCCCCUUGUUGAACUGUAUGCAUCUAUGCCAGCCAUCCUUGGUCUUUCCCAAGAUGAAACCAAUAAAC